CAACCUUCCCAUAACUGGUGAAUAGCCUUACCGAAAGGGAGAUUAAUACACCGUAACAUAACGAAAAGGCAUCUUUUUGUUAUUAUAGGCUUCGGCCGGUUUUGGAUGGGCGUGCGCCUGAUUAGGUAGUUGGCGGGUAACGGCCCACCAAGCCUGCGAUCAGUAACUGGUGUGAGAGCACGACCAGUCACACGGGCACUGAGACACGGGCCCGACUCCUACGGGAGGCAGCAGUAAGGAAUAUUGGUCAAUGGACGAAAGUCUGAACCAGCCAUGCCGCGUGAAGGAUUAAGGCCCUCUGGGUUGUAAACUUCUUUUAUCUGGGACGAAAAAAGGGCUUUCUAGCUCACUUGACGGUACCAGAGGAAUAAGCACCGGCUAACUCCGUG
Molecule: ribosomal RNA, 389 nt
Filed under: uncultured bacterium
Lineage: Bacteria
Description: bacterial SSU rRNA
Rfam family: Bacterial small subunit ribosomal RNA
Source: RNAcentral